CCUUCUGCUACAGACUAGUGGGGAUUUGGAGGGAAAGUCUGAAUAAUGCUUAGUCACAAGGUGAUGUCUCGGUCCUGCAGCAAAGAUGUUUGGCAAGUAAAGAGAGCUGCUGUGUGUGACACAUUUGGACAUCAGGCUCUGAGAAUAAAGAGGGACCCGCUAAUUGAUCUUCUGGAAGAAUAAAAUAUACUUUCUGCUUUAAACAACUGAAUCCUUACUAAAGAGGAAUUGAAUGUGAAAAUCUGCAUAUGCCUCACAUGCUGCUCUUCAUGGCCAGAAGGACAGUGAAACUCACAAAGCUUAAAAAGAGAAGGGGUGUUCCAGGUACGACAGUUUCUGACAAUCACACUUGUGCUGGUCACUUCAAGAACACUUCAUGCUGAGCUUUCAAUAGUAGCUAAUUCAGUGCUGAAUCAGUCACUAAAGCCUUUGGAGUAGUUGUGCCUUUGGAACGGAAGAGUUUGAGGAAAGAAGAAUCCUGAAAAAUGAAAUAAAGGAGGAGGGAAUUCUCAGUG
This is a non-coding RNA of Cyanistes caeruleus (blue tit), 515 nucleotides long. The record is from RefSeq and is a predicted model, not a curated record. NCBI's taxonomy places the organism in Eukaryota, Metazoa, Chordata, Aves, Passeriformes, Paridae.